Molecule: unclassified non-coding RNA, 217 nt
Filed under: plant metagenome
Description: partial contains small subunit ribosomal RNA and internal transcribed spacer 1
Source: RNAcentral
AAUGUCGUAACAAGGGUUUCCGUAGGUGAACCUGCGGAAUGGAUCAUUAAUUGAGGAUCAUGCCCGUUCGGGGUUAGACCUCCCAAGCCCCCAUGUUUCACCGUACCCGGUUGGCUUUCGGCGGUCCCAGUUUGGCAAAGGACAGGCCGCCAAAGGGACCUUUGAAAAUCCCGGUAUUAUCAUUGUCGUCUGAGUACUAUACAAGUAGUUCAAAAGG